RNAcentral lists this ribosomal RNA (253 nucleotides) under uncultured bacterium. RNAcentral's name for it is "partial 16S ribosomal RNA". It matches the Rfam family "Bacterial small subunit ribosomal RNA", at positions 524 to 776 of the family's 1533-position model. The record is from RNAcentral.
UACGGAGGGUGCAAGCGUUGCUCGGAAUUAUUGGGCGUAAAGGGUAGGUAGGUGGUCUCAUUUGUCUGGGGUGAAAGCCUUGAGCUUAACUCAAGAAGUGCCCCAGAAACGGUGGGACUAGAGUCCUGGAGAGGGUCGUGGAAUUCCCGGUGUAGCGGUGAAAUGCGUAGAGAUCGGGAGGAACACCGGUGGCGAAGGCGGCCACCUGGCUCGGUACUGACGCUGAGGCGCGACAGCGUGGGGAGCAAACAGG